GGCAUUGUUCUCGCGGGCUGGCGCGGGGCGCGCGGGCACUUUUGUUUGCGGGCUGCGCCUACUCGGCCGUGUGCUUCCUUCCGCAGGUCAGCUCGGCCGAGGGGGCGGCGAAGGAGGAGCCCAAGAGGAGGUCGGCGAGAUUGUCAGCGAAACCUGCUCCUGCAAAAGUGGAGGCGAAGCCCAAAAAGGCGGCGGGAAAGGAUAAAUCUUCAGACAAAAAAGUGCCGACGAAGGGGAAAAGGGGAGCAAAGGGAAAGCAGGCUGAAGUGACUGACCAAGAAGCAAAGGAAGACCUACCUGCAGAAAAUGGAGAAACUAAAACCGAGGAGAGUCCGGCCUCUGAGGAAGCAGGAGAGAAAGAAGCCAAGUCUGACUAAUACCACCUCCCAUGUCUUCUCAGUGGUCCCUGCGUCCCUUCUUGUACAAUCCAGAGGAAUAUUUUUAUCAACUAUUUUGUAAAUGCAAGUUUUUUAGUAGCUCUAGAAACAUUUUUAAGAAGGAGGGAAUCCCACCUCAUCCCAUUUUUUAAGUGUAAAUGCUUUUUUUUAAGAGGUGAAAUCAUUUGCUGGUUGUUUAUUUUUUGGUACAACCAGAAAACAGUGGGAUAUUGCAUAUGGGAGACUGAUCAUCUUGAGUGUCAGCUUAACAUUCCAGAGGGGCUGGUUUUUAUAUCCUGUAACACCAAGCACACUAAGUGGCAGUUUGGAGUCAGUCGUGCGUUUACUAGGUCUUGAACAUUUUAAAUUACUUUGAUUCCCAUGUUGUUUUUGGUAGAGUUGUUUCCUAGGAAAACCUCUCCUUGAUCCUGGCUCUCGCCGGCGGAAUCUGUGCAGUCUAACAUCCGGCUUCCAGGAGCCUUGUUCUGUGCUCUGCGAGAUGGGAUGUUGGCGCGUGUGGCAUGUCUGGUACUAAGUCAGGAACUAGCCGGAGCUCGUUAACCGUGUAACAGCACAGCAGCAUUUGAAGAUACCGGUACUUGACACAGUUAAGAAAAUGUACCUCCAAAUUUGAAGCUGGAAGGUCACUGGAGUAACUUUUAGAAAAGAACCACAACUACAUAUUUUUUUUAGAUUUUCGGUACGUACGUUAAGAACUGUGUACAAAUUGAAUUGUCUGUACUGAUCCUCAGAACAACCAAUAAAAACUCAGUUAUGAAAGAAUUUCUUGAAGCACAUAAA
Molecule: long non-coding RNA, 1178 nt
Organism: Suricata suricatta (meerkat)
Lineage: Eukaryota; Metazoa; Chordata; Mammalia; Carnivora; Herpestidae
Exons: 5
Source: RefSeq, a predicted model, not a curated record